RNAcentral lists this ribosomal RNA (468 nucleotides) under uncultured bacterium. RNAcentral's name for it is "partial 16S ribosomal RNA". It matches the Rfam family "Bacterial small subunit ribosomal RNA", at positions 28 to 507 of the family's 1533-position model. The record is from RNAcentral.
GACGAACGCUGGCGGCGUGCUUAACACAUGCAAGUCGAACGGAAAGGCCCUGCUUUUGUGGGGUGCUCGAGUGGCGAACGGGUGAGUAACACGUGAGUAACCUGCCCUUGACUUUGGGAUAACUUCAGGAAACUGGGGCUAAUACCGGAUAGGAGCUCCUGCUGCAUGGUGGGGGUUGGAAAGUUUCGGCGGUUGGGGAUGGACUCGCGGCUUAUCAGCUUGUUGGUGGGGUAGUGGCUUACCAAGGCUUUGACGGGUAGCCGGCCUGCGAGGGUGACCGGCCACAUUGGGACUGAGAUACGGCCGAGACUCCUACGGGAGGCAGCAGUGGGGAAUAUUGCACAAUGGGCGGAAGCCUGAUGCAGCAACGCCGCGUGCGGGAUGACGGCCUUCGGGUUGUAAACCGCUUUCGCCUGUGACGAAGCGUGAGUGACGGUAAUGGGUAAAGAAGCACCGGCUAACUACGUG